RNAcentral lists this ribosomal RNA (433 nucleotides) under uncultured bacterium. RNAcentral's name for it is "partial 16S ribosomal RNA". It matches the Rfam family "Bacterial small subunit ribosomal RNA", at positions 29 to 507 of the family's 1533-position model. The record is from RNAcentral.
AACGAACGCUGGCGGCAUGCCUAACACAUGCAAGUCGAACGAGACCUUCGGGUCUAGUGGCGCACGGGUGCGUAACGCGUGGGAACCUGCCCUUAGGUUCGGAAUAACUCCCCGAAAGGGGUGCUAAUACCGGAUAAUGUCUUCGGAUCAAAGAUUUGUCGCCUUUGGAUGGGCCCGCGUUGGAUUAGCUAGUUGGUAGGGUAAAAGCCUACCAAGGCGACGAUCCAUAGCUGGUCUGAGAGGAUGAUCAGCCACACUGGGACUGAGACACGGCCCAGACUCCUACGGGAGGCAGCAGUGGGGAAUAUUGGACAAUGGGCGAAAGCCUGAUCCAGCAAUGCCGCGUGAGUGAUGAAGGCCUUAGGGUUGUAAAGCUCUUUUACCCGGGAUGAUAAUGACAGUACCGGGAGAAUAAGCUCCGGCUAACUCCGUG